GACGAACGCUGGCGGCGUGCUUAACACAUGCAAGACGAACGCUGAAGCUUGGUGCUUGCACUGGGUGGAUGAGUGGCGAACGGGUGAGUAAUACGUGAGUAACCUGCCCUUGACUCUGGGAUAAGCCUGGGAAACUGGGUCUAAUACUGGAUAUGACAUGCCACUGCAUGGUGGUGUGUGGAAAGGGUUUUACUGGUUUUGGAUGGGCUCACGGCCUAUCAGCUUGUUGGUGGGGUAAUGGCCUACCAAGGCGACGACGGGUAGCCGGCCUGAGAGGGUGACCGGCCACACUGGGACUGAGACACGGCCCAGACUCCUACGGGAGGCAGCAGUGGGGAAUAUUGCACAAUGGGCGGAAGCCUGAUGCAGCGACGCCGCGUGAGGGAUGACGGCCUUCGGGUUGUAAACCUCUUUCAGCACGGAAGAAGCGAGAGUGACGGUACGUGCAGAAGAAGCGCCGGCUAACUACGUG
This 472-nucleotide ribosomal RNA is filed under the name uncultured bacterium. RNAcentral's name for it is "partial 16S ribosomal RNA". It matches the Rfam family "Bacterial small subunit ribosomal RNA", at positions 28 to 507 of the family's 1533-position model. The record is from RNAcentral.